Molecule: RNA transcript, 2470 nt
Organism: Phodopus roborovskii (desert hamster)
Lineage: Eukaryota; Metazoa; Chordata; Mammalia; Rodentia; Cricetidae
Gene: Trim39
Gene name: tripartite motif containing 39
Exons: 7
Source: RefSeq, a predicted model, not a curated record
UUUUCUGUCUCUCCAUCUCCAAGCUAAAUAAUGGCAGAGACAAGUCUAUUAGAGGCUGGGGCCUCUGCAGCGUCCACUGCCGCUGCUCUGGAGAACCUGCAAGUGGAGGCAAGUUGUUCCGUGUGCCUGGAGUAUCUGAAGGAGCCAGUCAUCAUCGAGUGCGGGCACAACUUCUGCAAAGCGUGCAUUACCCGCUGGUGGGAGGACCUAGAGCGGGACUUCCCUUGCCCCGUCUGCCGGAAGACAUCCCGAUACCGGAGUCUCCGGCCUAAUCGACAACUGGGCAGUAUGGUGGAAAUAGCCAAACAGCUCCAGGCAGUCAAGCGGAAGAUCAGAGAUGAAAGCCUCUGCUCUGAACACCAUGAGGCCCUCAGCCUCUUCUGCUAUGAAGAACAGGAGGCUGUCUGUCUAAUAUGUGCAAUUUCUCAUACCCACCGGGCCCAUACCGUCGUGCCCCUGGAUGAUGCUACACAGGAAUACAAGGAGAAAUUGCAGAAGUGCCUGGAGCCCCUGGAACAGAAGCUGCAGGAGAUCACCUGCUGCAAAGCCUCUGAAGAAAAGAAACCAGGGGAGCUCAAGAGACUAGUGGAGAACCGCAGACAGCAAAUCCUAAAGGAGUUUGAAGAGCUCCACAGGAGGCUGGAUGAGGAACAGCAGACUCUCCUUUCACGACUGGAAGAAGAAGAGCAGGACAUCCUACAGAGACUUAGAGAAAAUGCUGCUCACCUUGGGGACAAGCGCCGGGACCUGGCCCACUUAGCUGCUGAGGUGGAGGGCAAGUGCUUACAGUCAGGCUUCGAGAUGCUUAAGGAUGUGAAAAGUACUCUGGAAAAAUGUGAGAAGGUGAAGACCAUGGAGGUGACAACAGUAUCUAUAGAGCUGGAAAAGAACUUCAGCAAUUUCCCCCGGCAGUACUUUGCCCUCAGGAAAAUCCUUAAACAGCUAAUUGCGGAUGUGACCCUGGACCCUGAGACGGCUCAUCCUAACCUCGUCCUAUCAGAGGAUCGGAAGAGUGUCAAGUUUGUGGAGACAAGACUCAGAGACCUCCCUGACACACCACAGCGUUUCACUUUCUACCCUUGUGUCUUGGCUACUGAAGGCUUCACCUCAGGACGACACUACUGGGAGGUGGAGGUGGGCGACAAGACCCACUGGGCAGUAGGAGUAUGCCGGGACUCUGUGAGCAGAAAGGGCGAACUGACUCCACUCCCUGAGACUGGCUACUGGCGUGUACGGCUGUGGAAUGGGGACAAGUAUGCAGCCACCACCACACCUUUUACUCCUUUGCACAUCAAGGUGAAACCUAAGAGGGUGGGCAUAUUCCUAGACUAUGAGGCUGGAACAUUGUCUUUUUACAACGUCACAGACCGCUCACAUAUCUACACCUUCACUGAUACUUUUACUGAAAAACUUUGGCCCCUCUUCUACCCAGGGAUCCGGGCUGGCCGGAAGAAUGCUGCACCACUUACUAUCAGGCCCCCAACAGAUUGGGAGUGACAAGAGGUGGAGCUUAAUUGGGGUGAUGCAGGGUCAAGAGUGACGGGUCUUCCUUACUGUGACCUGCUGGAAUGUCUUGUUGUCUGCAUGGUUCCAGUCCUGAACCAUCUUGAGAAACCACCUGGUCUCUGAGAUGGUUUGUGUGAAGGAGUAAAGACAGGACUGGGCUGUAUGACAGCACAGAUGAGUGUCCCUACUUAACUGUAGUGGGAGAGCGGGCUCCCAGGGGACUGUAAUCUCUGGUGUCCAGCUGGUUUCCUAUUGCACAAGGACAGGUUGGUAAAGAAAAGGCUUUUCUAGAAAUAGAAAGUCUAUAUGAAAGAGUCUUAACUUGCUUAAAAUGCAUGAAACAGAAACCUUUAAAAGGCUUCUGUGACUCAAGCGUAGCCUUGUUCCUUGUAGGAGCGCAUAGGGAUCUAUAUACCUCUGUGUAGAAAGAUGAGUGACAGUUGCUGUCAUGAGUCUUAGAAGUUGAGAGGCUUUUCUGAAGGCAGAGAUUGGGCAUUAAAGUUAGGAGGAAGAUCAGGGAGGAGGCUAAAGGGACAUUCUAAAAAUGAAUGAAGAAGAGGGAGAUUUCUUUUGUUUUCCCCUCUUAGGGUAAUGUUACCAUUACCCAUAGGAUUAGCCAGAGGUUGGAAUUUGGGGAGAAGGAUAAGGUGGGCAGAAAGGAGAAUCCAGGUCUCGAAGCUGGUUUCUCCCUGUCCCCUACAGUUGGUUGUCUCCAAGAAGUGGGCCCACCUUUCUCCCCUCUGGAGGUGAGAUGGAAGUGAUUCUACAGGACACAUACAUCUGCCCUUCCACUGUUUUCCCAAGGGAACUUGGGGAGGAGUCAGCUAUUAGAGGAAAGAAAAUGGUGUGUCCAAAGCCCUGGCCUUAAAGAAUGUUAAAAGUAGUUGUUCCCAAGUUGUCUGCCUUGUCCCCUGGCUCAGGUGCCUAAGCCAGAAAGGAAAAAAGGUAAUGGAUUUUUUUCUCG